This 916-nucleotide ribosomal RNA is filed under the name uncultured euryarchaeote. RNAcentral describes it as "bacterial SSU rRNA". It matches the Rfam family "Archaeal small subunit ribosomal RNA", at positions 1 to 924 of the family's 1478-position model. Lineage: Archaea; Methanobacteriati; Methanobacteriota. The record is from RNAcentral.
UUCCGGUUGAUCCUGCCGGACCUGACUGCUAUCGGAUUGAUACUAAGCCAUGCGAGUUUUUGCAGUAAUGCAAAGCAUACGGCUCAGUAACACGUAGUCAACUUACCCUAUGGACGAGGAUAAUCUCGGGAAACUGAGCAUAAUACUCGAUAGAUCAUAAUGCCUGGAAUGGUUUAUGGUUGAAAUGAUUCGUCGCCGUAGGAUGGGACUGCGGCCUAUCAGCUUGUUGGUGAGGUAAUGGCCCACCAAGGCGAUUACAGGUACGGGCUCUGAGAGGAGAAGCCCGGAGAUGGGUACUGAGACAAGGACCCAGGCCCUAUGGGGCGCAGCAGGCGAGAAAACUUUGCAAUGUGCGAAAGCACGACAAGGUUAAUCCGAGUGAUUUCUGCUAAAGAAAUCUUUUGCAAGUCAUAAAACCACUAGUGAAUAAGGGGUGGGCAAGUUCUGGUGUCAGCCGCCGCGGUAAAACCAGCACCUCAAGUGGUCAGGAGGAUUAUUGGGCCUAAAGCAUCCGUAGCCGGCUCUGUAAGUUUUCGGUUAAAUCCAUGUGCUCAACGCAUGGGCUGCCGAAAAUACUGCAUAGCUAGGGAGUGGGAGAGGUAGACGGUACUCGGUAGGAAGGGGUAAAAUCCUUUGAUCUAUCGAUGACCACCUGUGGCGAAGGCGGUCUACCAGAACACGUUCGACGGUGAGGGAUGAAAGCUGGGGGAGCAAACCGGAUUAGAUACCCGGGUAGUCCCAGCUGUAAACGAUGCAGACUCGAUGAUGCAUUGGCAUAUAGCCAGUGCAGUGUCGCAGGGAAGCCGUUAAGUCUGCCGCCUGGGAAGUACGUACGCAAGUAUGAAACUUAAAGGAAUUGGCGGGGGAGCACCACAAGGGGUGAAGCCUGCGGUUCAAUUGGAGUCAACGCCGGGAA